Molecule: ribosomal RNA, 253 nt
Filed under: uncultured bacterium
Lineage: Bacteria
Description: partial 16S ribosomal RNA
Rfam family: Bacterial small subunit ribosomal RNA
Source: RNAcentral
UACGUAGGGCGCAAGCGUUGUCCGGAAUUAUUGGGCGUAAAGAGCUCGUAGGCGGCUUGUCACGUCGAUUGUGAAAGCCCGAGGCUUAACCUCGGGUCUGCAGUCGAUACGGGCUAGCUAGAGUGUGGUAGGGGAGAUCGGAAUUCCUGGUGUAGCGGUGAAAUGCGCAGAUAUCAGGAGGAACACCGGUGGCGAAGGCAGAUCUCUGGGCCGUAACUGACGCUGAGGAGCGAAAGCAUGGGGAGCGAACAGG